AGAGUCAUGAGAACGAGACCUGGAAAGCUGAGUUGCCCCGGCCGGAUAGAGCCCAGGAAAAUGAGGACUCAGCCAGUCUGCUCCCAGACAGACAAGAGAGGCCAGUUGAGGCCGGGAGAAUCACACAGCCUUAGUCUCUGAGCUGUACCUGAUUCUAGCUGUAUGAGCAAUAAACGCUUAUUCUUUUUAGCCACUGAGUUUUAGGGUAGUGUUUUAGGCAGAACUGUUUGUAGAAUAGCCCUGUGUGCACACAAAGAAGAGUCAUGUGAGAACGCAAGGCCAGCUGCUUACAAAACAUGCCUCGGAACGAAACCUACCUUGCUGGUACCACGAUCUUAGACUUCCCAGCCUCCCAGACCGUGAGAAAUAAACGUCUGUCGUUUAAGCC
Molecule: long non-coding RNA, 388 nt
Organism: Orcinus orca (killer whale)
Lineage: Eukaryota; Metazoa; Chordata; Mammalia; Artiodactyla; Delphinidae
Exons: 2
Source: RefSeq, a predicted model, not a curated record